CCUACGGGUGGCAGCAGUGAGGAAUAUUGGUCAAUGGACGAGAGUCUGAACCAGCAACGUAGCGUGAAGGAUGACUGCCCUCUGGGUUGUAAACUUCUUUUAUAAAGGAAUAAAACGAGGCACGUGUGCCUUUUUGUAUGUACUUUAUGAAUAAGGAUCGGCUAACUCCGUGCCAGCAGCCGCGGUAAUACGGAGGAUCCGAGCGUUAUCCGGAUUUAUUGGGUUUAAAGGGAGCGUAGAUGGGUUGUUACGUCAGUUGUGAAAGGUUGCGGCUCAACCGUACAAUUGCAAUUGAUACUGGCAGCCGUGAGUGCAGUUGAGGUAGGCGGAAUUCGUGGUGUAGCGGUGAAAUGCUUAGAUAUCACGAAGAACUCCGAUUGCGAAGGCAGCUUACUAAACUGCAACUGACAGUGAAGCUCGAAAGUGUGGGUAUCAAACAGGAUUAGAUACCCUGGUAGUC
RNAcentral lists this ribosomal RNA (460 nucleotides) under uncultured bacterium. Its description in RNAcentral is "partial 16S ribosomal RNA". It matches the Rfam family "Bacterial small subunit ribosomal RNA", at positions 338 to 795 of the family's 1533-position model. The record is from RNAcentral.